This 234-nucleotide long non-coding RNA is filed under the name Mytilus galloprovincialis (Mediterranean mussel). Lineage: Eukaryota; Metazoa; Mollusca; Bivalvia; Mytilida; Mytilidae. The record is from RNAcentral.
GUUUGUGUGUUAAUGUUUUUAAUUGUGAUUUUUAUAAAGUGUGUAAACGAUAAGACUUUGCUGCAUACAUACAGCGAGUAAAUUGUUCCUCUGGACGAGCUCAACAUUUUAUGCAAUAAGCCUAAACAUGUCCGACCGUCUGUUAAAGUUACAACGGGAUGAUUCUUAAAAGUAUAGUAUUGUGUGUAUAUCUUUUUAAAGGUAACAGAUACCAACCUACUAUAAACUGCAAAG